This 253-nucleotide ribosomal RNA is filed under the name uncultured bacterium. Its description in RNAcentral is "partial 16S ribosomal RNA". It matches the Rfam family "Bacterial small subunit ribosomal RNA", at positions 526 to 779 of the family's 1533-position model. The record is from RNAcentral.
CGUAGGGUGCAAGCGUUAAUCGGAAUUACUGGGCGUAAAGCGUGCGCAGGCGGUUUCGCAAGACGGAUGUGAAAUCCCCGGGCUCAACCUGGGAACUGCAUUUGUGACUGCGAGGCUAGAGUGUGUCAGAGGGAGGUGGAAUUCCGCGUGUAGCAGUGAAAUGCGUAGAGAUGCGGAGGAACACCGAUGGCGAAGGCAGCCUCCUGGGACGGCACUGACGCUCAGGCACGAAAGCGUGGGAGCAAACAGGAUU